Molecule: ribosomal RNA, 482 nt
Filed under: uncultured bacterium
Lineage: Bacteria
Description: partial 16S ribosomal RNA
Rfam family: Bacterial small subunit ribosomal RNA
Source: RNAcentral
GACGAACGCUGGCGGCGUGCUUAACACAUGCAAGUCGAACGAUGAAGAAGAGAAACGCGAACUUCGGUUCAAAUUUCACUUCGGAUUAGUGGCAGACGGGUGAGUAACGCGUGAGCAACCUACCUCUUACAAAGGGAUAGCCUCGGGAAACCGUGAUUAAUACCAUAUGACACAUUCAUAAGGCAUCUUAAGAAUGUUAAAGCUACGGCGGUAAGAGAUGGGCUCGCGUCCCAUUAGCUAGUUGGUGAGGUAACGGCCCACCAAGGCGACGAUGGGUAACCGGGCUGAGAGGGUGAACGGUCACAUUGGAAGUGAGACACGGUCCAAACUCCUACGGGAGGGAGCAGUGGGGAAUAUUGCACAAUGGAGGGAACUGUGAUGCAGCGACGCCGCGUGAGCGAUGAAGGAAUUCGUUUCGUAAAGCUCUGUUCUAUGGGAAGAAAAGGACUGUACCAUAGGAGAAAGCCCCGGCUAAAUACGUG